GGCGAGCCACUCACCAGAGCCGAGGCGCGACGCAGCCCGACUGACGGCAGCGAGCGAGCCUGGCGGGCCGCGCGGGCAGCUAUCAGCCUGGAAGCCUCGGUACGCGGAUCCCUGCGGCUCCCUGCGUGUAGGCAGAAGCCCACACGAGGGGAUGCAGGGAGGCAUCGCGCAAGCCCUGGGCAGGGCAGGCCUCGAGGAGGCGGCGGCGGGGUCCCGCAACCUCCGUGGGCAGCGCCCCUUUGCGAGCACAGCCCGCAGCCUGAACGAAAAAGCCACCCGAGGACCACCUCCUCCUUUCCUGCUGAAAGCAGAAAGGAAAAGCCUAACGGCCUGCUCGCUCUAAGUGUUGCCGGGAUACCCGGAAUCGAGUGCCAGCGGACACCAGCAGGGAGGACGAGCGCCGGCCACGUCCCUCCCCAGACCAGACCCCCUCAGGAGUAGCUUCUGGCAGCCCCUGCAGCAGAGCUUCUUCUCUGCCUUCUCCUGGGGGUGGCGGGAAGCCCAGGUUCGCAAGGUUUUUGAGCUUCCUGAUAGGGAUGCAUCAAAUGCAUCCAGGAUUUUGUAGAAAGCCUCUGGCAGCCCUACUUUUGUCUGACAGUGAAAACAGUGGCGUCGGCUAACAGGUGUUCCCUUUACGUGGUGGCCGCCAGGAAACUUGGAACCAGGUUGAGCGCCCAGUGGUGUCAGCCGGCUCAUCUCAAGCCCAGGUCAGGCUUUCAUCUUCUGCUGCUUAUUCCAGUGUUCAUCCAAUUGUUGGUGUUAAAAUUAAGUUCCCAAGCCAUUUAGCAUCUCUGGAGUUCAAAGCACUGACUGUGCGAAAAGAUGUGCACCUGGCAAAGCCUACACUUAUCAAUCUAAAGGGAGACCCGAGCACUCUGGCACUGUGCCAGCCGACCUGAUUGGAGUUGGGAUCUUGUGAAGGGGUUUUGCCGUUGGCUUUUGAGUUCAGGUCGAAAGACAGAAAGAAGUCGAUGGCUGGACAGCAUCAGCACCAGGAUGUGUGGGCUCAUUCUUGCACACAGGAAGACAGCCCUGGACCUCUCAGGGCAAAAAAAGACUGCCAAGUUAAUGAAGUCAGGUAUUAUCACUAACAUGACUGCGUUUGUAUUCACAGGCGGUGAGACUUAGGGACAUUUGAGUUGCAUCCAAAAUACACGAGAAAAUGAUGAGCGAAAUUGUGUGGGAGUCCAAGGGGUAAAGUGAUUCGCUGUGACCUAGAAUUUGGGCAGUAGGUAACAUUUGCAUUGGAUCUUAACUGGGAAGAAUGGGGCCCUGCAGUCCAGGGAGGGAAGAGCAUAUGCAAUAGUCCAGACGUUGGAGGCAGAUGGCAUUUCAGGCUACCUGAGUUCAUGGUGGGGUAAAAAUAUUUAGUUAGAAAGGAGGA
Balaenoptera musculus (blue whale) is the source of this 1384-nucleotide long non-coding RNA. RefSeq lists it as uncharacterized. NCBI's taxonomy places the organism in Eukaryota, Metazoa, Chordata, Mammalia, Artiodactyla, Balaenopteridae. The record is from RefSeq and is a predicted model, not a curated record. The transcript is spliced from 2 exons.